AUGAUCGAAAUUAUUUAAAAUUUAUUCAUUUGUAAAAACUUCAAAUCUUCGAUGGAACUAUCGAUAGUAUCGAUGGCUCAUUCCAUCGAUGGAUAAAUCUAUCGAGGGUAACCUCUAUCGAUGGUUUUGCAGCCCUAGUCUGUCCGUUCGUAUGUGAGAACGCGUCGAUCUCAGCAACAUUGGCGCGCAAAAGGUGGAAAGCGAAGCGUAAUUAUGGCACCAACAAUUAGGUAAGUUUUCAUAACGCGCACACGACAAGAAAUGGCGGAGCUUUCAGAUAUAAAUGAAAGUUUAGGAAGCACUAGUGACGGCUCAUCUACUAGCGAAGUUGAGUUCGAUUUAUGGACCCACCACAAGGCACUGGCCCACAAAACCAGUAAGAAAGAC
Molecule: long non-coding RNA, 387 nt
Organism: Drosophila mojavensis
Lineage: Eukaryota; Metazoa; Arthropoda; Insecta; Diptera; Drosophilidae
Exons: 2
Source: RefSeq, a predicted model, not a curated record